Molecule: long non-coding RNA, 1773 nt
Filed under: Homo sapiens (human)
Lineage: Eukaryota; Metazoa; Chordata; Mammalia; Primates; Hominidae
Description: HSALNT0163574
Source: RNAcentral
CUCCCUGCAAGCAGACGGAGCCGGUUCCGACCUCAGCCAGCCCAGAGAGAGGCUCCCAUAGUGCAGCGGCGGGCUGAAGGGCUCGUCAAGCAUGGCCAGAGUGGGCACCGAGGCCGAGGAGGCGCCGAGAGCGAGGGAGGGCAGCCAGCACGCUGUCACCUCUCACUGGGACACAGUUCAGAGCCUAGCCCUGUGGUAACACUUCUUGAUAACAAAGAACAGAAUCAUAGGAGAGAGGAGCACCAGGGGUUGACAGAAGCAGCCUUUGAAUCAGGAAGCAUCAGGACUACAAGUGGGAGGGCAGAAUCCACCUCCCUCAAUAUGCUGAAGCAGAGAAAACUCCAGAGAACGGCCAGGGCAUCCUGGGAUUACAAGCAGCAGAGGGCAGUGUAGAUGCAAAGGAGGAACCAGUGGAGGAAAUGUCUCUCUUCCUAUGGAUGCCCAGCCUCUGCCCUUGUCUUCUGGACCCCACCUCCUUUCUACCACACAAGUUGGCAUGAUGACAACGUAUUUGGCCCUGGCAAUAGAUUAUGGCUGGUACAAACCAGUUCUCAGGAUAUCUUACAACUAGAGGCAGCCUUAAGACCCUGUUUUGUCGAGAAUACCUACUUGGAAGUCUAGUCAAAAGUGGCAGCUCACCCUCCUGUUUCAACUCAGAAGUCCUUCUCCAUUACCACCCCUGUCAAGUGAGGAGCUGCUGUUUCUCCUACUAAUGAGCAGAGCAGAAAGUGAAGUAAUUACGUCUAUCCUUAGUGAGGUAUAUUCAAGGAAUAAUAAACCCUAAGGCUGGUUUUGAUGUCCUAGUCCUAAGAAGUAGUCUUCCCUAUGGAAGAAUGAGAGAAAGGGAGAAGAGAAAAGAAAGGGAAAAUGAUCUGGGAAGGUAUUAAGUUGACUCCAGAAAAAUUGGCUGUAUUAAAGAUUAAGUGCAAGCAUGGCCUUGGGAAUCUUCCUUCAGGACUUCCAUUCAGCUCCAUAAAUGCUGACAUGUGCUUCUCUCAUAUCCCAGCCCUGUGGCGGUGGUGGAGAGUGGCCUAUACGCUAUCAUUACAAUGAGGUGGCAGCAUGAAGACAGAAGACUCUGCUAAUGAUGGGAAAGCAGAAAGCAGAUCGCCUGGGACACUAACCAUAUUGUGAAACCAGAGCUCAACCCCUGGACCAUCAACAUGCAGAUCUCUUGUUACAUGAGCAAAAAUAUAUGUCUGAAGGAUAAAUAUGUUCAAAAUAGGCUUUCAAAUAGACACUCAUGUCCUUCUGUAAACAUCAUGGUAGAGCAAGUAAAUCACAAACUUUUCUUUCUAUACCCUCAAGACAUGUGGCUUAGUAAAAAUGUCUUCAUUUUGGAGAAUAAUUUUCAAAAUCUAAUGAUAAUAAUUCCCCUUUAAAAAUUCUCAAAUAAAACACAACGGUAAUAUGCAAAACUCAUUUUACAUAAAAAUAGGUAAGUAACUGUAAAAAAAUACUUUUGAUAACAGACAGGUUAAAUUAAUUUAAAAAUCAAAUUUGUUGAGAAAAAGAUUUAAUAUUGAUUCUUUUAUUUUUCUGACACCUCUGGACUGUGGUGUUGUAAGUGUUAGUGUCCUGCUUUUUUCUAACUUACUGCAAGAUCUGUCAAACUAGCUAAAGAUAUGCUUUAGGCAUUGCUAAGACAUAUAUGAGAAAAACCAUUUUAUGUUUUUUAAAAAACAUGGUAAUGAAUAACAAUUAUAUAUCAACAUUGAGCAGAAUUGUCCACAAAAACUUAGAUUUUCAUUUUGUACACCUGGUUUAGUAGUA